UUCAUUACUGAGAGCUGCUGCUCAGCAACUUCACCCACAGCAACCAUGACUCUGAUCAGCGUCUUCAUCUGCACACUGGUGCUCUGGGCUCAAGGAUCCAGAGGUCAGGUGACUGUGACUCAGACUCCUUCAGUGCAAACUGUUGCUCCAGGAAACACAGUCACCAUCAACUGCAGAACCAAUCUCAAAGUGUAUAAUGGUAACUAUCUCGCCUGGUACCUGCAGAAACCAGGAGAAGCCCCUAAACUUCUGAUCAAGCACGUUAAUAGUUUACAGUCAGGUAUUUCAGCUCGUUUCCAAGGCAGUGGAUCUGAUACUGACUUCACGCUGACCAUCAGUGAAGUCCAGACUGAAGAUGCAGGAGAUUAUUACUGUCAGAGUGACCUUCAGAUCAGUGGCAUCUCGGUGUUCACACAGUGUUAAAGAGUCGUACAAAAACCUC
Molecule: non-coding RNA, 442 nt
Organism: Tachysurus vachellii
Lineage: Eukaryota; Metazoa; Chordata; Actinopteri; Siluriformes; Bagridae
Source: the annotation of a RefSeq genome assembly